Alligator mississippiensis (American alligator) is the source of this 5214-nucleotide long non-coding RNA. RefSeq lists it as uncharacterized. The record is from RefSeq and is a predicted model, not a curated record. NCBI's taxonomy places the organism in Eukaryota, Metazoa, Chordata, Crocodylia, Alligatoridae. The transcript is spliced from 3 exons.
AACGCAGCAUUUUUGGCUAAGUCGGAGCCUAUGACUCCUCACGUGCCAGGGCCUUUGGAAACAGCACAACAUGACAGCAUCCUUGGAAAUGCAAAGCCCUGGAGGGGGGAGCACAUGGAGACUUUUAUAUUAGACGUUUCACUUUGCAUCACAUGCAGGGAAACCCAAAGCAAGAGGCUGCGCGACCUCCACUCCCAGGGACUUCAAUGGGACUUGAGGGUGCUCAGCCAUUGGCAGGUCACAGCCUUAAAGGAGUCCGAAACUUCAGAUAAAACAGAAUAGGUUACAACCACCCUCUCCCUAUUAUAGAUGGAGACAGGGUAGUCACCCGACACAUUGGGCCCCAGCAUGCAUUGCUCCAUCUUGAUCUGAGCAGCGGCUAUUAGACAGAUAGGGUGCAAGUAAUGGGGCACGAGGUCUUCCCGAUUCACACAUUCUUAUUAAAAACAAAGUUGCUAUAAGCCAUGCAAUAAAAAUGCAUAGGCCUCAUUUUCUAUCUAAUCUAAGACACCUGUCACCUUGGUAUCUCAGCACAAUCAGGAGCCCAUUGGCUCUUCUGAGCAAACAUCUCUGCAGAUCAGCAACGAGGUGAAAACGUGAGUUAAACGUCUGCAGAUGUUUUUCCCUUACACAAUCAGUUGCUUCUACUUUGUUUGCAAGCAUCGUUCACAUCGUUGUUGUCAAAAAAUCAAACCAGGUGAAGCCUUCACAGAAGUAACAAUGCAGAGGAAAGGAGCUCUGCGCCGAAUAACUUCACUCAUUGGAGGCAGAACAGGAUCAGCGGAAGUCCCUGGAGUUACACCCACGUGAGGAACAAAGCAGAAUUCCUACGUUUCUAAACCCGAUGGACCGAACCAUACAAUUGGCAUACAAGUGUCUCUUCUGAGAUCAUUGAGUAGACUGUCUAAGUCUUCUAGGCCACCGGAUUUAAGAGAUAUGGUUCACCGAGGUGUCUGUCCUCCACUGAGCAUAGCACACGGGAACAAUUUAUCCUCAGCCCUGGAGCAAACCAGACACUGGUUUUAGCCCAUCUACUCUGCGAGCUGCGAACGGUCCUUUUCCCCCCAAGCAGCCUUUCUGCAUCAGAUCUCUUUUUUUGCUGAUUUGCAUGGUCUUCUUGCAUUAUUUGAGAAUUAAAAUAUACAUGCUACAUCUAAUUUGGGCAAAAGUCUUGAUCCCACUGCAUCACUAAUAGCAGCUUCUGGAGUAGCUAUAUAUUCUGUGCAGCAGGAGUCUUCUACUUUCUCUGAAUAAAGGAAUCUUGUUAUAAGAUUAUAGGGUUUGUUUUUUUCCUUUGCAUCAGUCAAACUAUUAGAGUUCUUAAAGACAGAGCGUUUGGCAGGGCAUUUCCUGACCCCUAGUUUACUCAUGCCCAGUCAACCGUAGAGAUUGCUGUUCCAAACUCCCGCACAUACAGCUCAAAUCAUCAGCAAAUGGAGGCACAUGUAAGUUCAGCGCAGCAAAAAGUGAUUGAGGCCACUCACUACAAGAAGAACCCAUGCAAUUUGACUCCACAAACUAACCUCCACUGGAUCCAGAAAUAGGACCAUGUUUCCACACAUCUUUAAAACCAAAAAGCCCCCACAGUAAAGAAAUAGGAAAUUCCUGCUGGAAAAUCUCUGUCUUGCCUCAAAUGCCUGGCUGGAAUAAGCUAGAUAAGAAACAAGAUCUGCUCAGUAGGGCUGCACAAAGCUUCGGGAGCUGAUUCGAUUCGGAGGAGAUUCGGCCCGAUUCGGCAGACAAAUGUCCAAAUCCAAAUCAAAUCAGGGGACCAGUUAAAAGGUCUGAAUUGAUUUGAAGCUCUCCAAAUUAAUUCGGAAAAGAUUCAGAGAGCUUCGGCAAUUUGGGCAGUCCUCACUCGCUGCAGCAGGAAAAUGGACCUGGACUCCAUGCUGGGAAGUGUUACUAAGGAACGGCUUCAGCAGAGGAAGAAAGCUUCGUCAGACAAGAGGCAAUACAUGGAGGGAAAAUCUGCUUUCCCCAUAUACCAGCAUGUGGGCCGCUGAAUCAAAUUAAAUUCCUUUGUGUUACUAACCAUUAGUGAAUGCAGUAACAAUAGAGGUUAUAUUAUCUUGCUAUGGCUCUAGGAAAGUGAGUUCAAGCCCUACUCUGGAUUUAUGCUAAAGGCUGCCCUUAGUUGACAUGUCUAUAAAGAUGUUCCUCAGCCCAAAUGACCAAGAACCAAGAUGUCUGAACCUGAUGCUAGCAACAUUGCUUUUUUGUGUGCUGUUGGCUAUAAAUACAGGUAUGCUGCAUUACCCCAAGGGAUUACUGUUGGAGGUCGCAGGAGCAUUUGCUGAAGUUUAUGCCAGUAAAUGCAUCAAUUCACCUUUCAGUGAACCAGAAAAGAGUUGCUGACCUAGUAUCCAUUAUGUAUAACAGAAUUAUGGACAUAAUUUAAAGCAGCCUUCUAUGUAGCUUCUAUACCGGGGUUGAACAUUUUGCAUACCCCAGCAGCCAUCUCUCAAAGAAGGCCAACAUCUACAAGGAGAUCUGGUAUAUGAUCUGAUGCAUCAGCUGUGCCUUCAGAAGACUGAAUCAUUGUGUGUUCAAUGAUCAUGACAUCAGGACUCAAAGCUCCUGUUACAUAAGGCUGUGGUGAUCCCAACUUUUUUCUACAGCUGUGACAUUUGGGUGACCUACAGGGACCAUCUGAAAAGCCUGGAAUGCCAUCACCAGCGCUACCUGCAGAAGAUCCUUGGCAUAAAGUGGGAGGAUAGUCACACAAAUGCCUGUGUCCUCAUCAACACUAACACCACCAGUAUGGAAGCAUUGGCUAUUCAACAUCAGCAUUUGGAUGGUUAUCUUGUUGGGGUCAUCUGACCCCAGCUGACUUCUUCCCCUUUGGGCAGGGGGCUGGACCCGAUGAUCUCACGAGGUCCCUUCCAGCCCUAAUGUCUAUGAAACUGCGGUGGACAGGGCGCUGUGAGCGCAUGAUGUAUAUUUACCAAAACACCUGCUAUACUCCCAACUUAGCCAAGGAAAAAGGACAUGCAGCCAGAGGAAAUGCUUCAAGGACACCCUCAAGGCGAACAUUAAGAUAUGUGGCAUGGACACCACAAAUUGGGAAAAGCUAACCUGGGACAGGGCUACAUGGUGAUGCCUUGUGAGAAGGUAUGUCUUACUUUGAGGAAAACCGUCUCACCCGUGUGGCAAAAAAAUGACAGAAAUGGAAGGAAAGGAAACAAGGCCAAAAGAUCUGUGGUUACACCCUCCCUUUAACCACCACCCAUGGCAUUUGCCAGAGAGUCUCUGGCUCUAGGAUCAGCUAUCUUAGCCAUCAAUGGACUCAUUUGCAACCCUUUCCUUGCCCCAGGGGGGUAAUCAUCCUCGACCAUGAGGGAUUGCCACCGUUGAUGAUACUGGGGCUUAUGAAGGGCGUAGUUUUCAGACAAAAUGGUGCUGGCCUGGUUCUGCAGGCUGAUCUACAAACAGUUUUGUGCCACUAUGACAGUGCCAGAGAGAAGCAGAUAGAGUUGAAAAGUCAGUGCAAGCCCCUUGUGUGGGCACACUAAUAGCAACCUAAAGCUGCCAAUACUGCACAGCUUACUCUCCUCAAUUUGUUAACUACAGGAUAAUCUUCCCCACCCUGCACAUGGGAAUUACACAUUGGCUUCAUCAGACAAAAGGCAAUGCAUAGAGGGAAAAUCUGCUUUCCCCAUGUGCCAUUAUGUGGACCACUGAAUCAAACUUCUUAUUUCAUGCUUGGUCGCCAAUCCCUCACCGAGUGUAAUGGAGUAGAUUGUGGUGUUGGCAAUUCUAUGGUGUUGACACCCGUUGAGUAUCCAAGGACAAAUUCUUCCUUGAAUUAUAUGGAGAAAAAUUUGGAGAUCUUGGGAUUUCUCCAUAUAUAAUUCAGAGAAGAACAGGGCCCUCAGAUUAUAUAUCGAAACAUCAGCUAUCAUCUCUGUGGGACCCCGUACUCUUCUCUUCUCCACUCCAAGAGAUCAGAUGACCUUCCACUGACCCUACACUUUUCAUACUUGUUUUUGCUGCUUCCUAGGAAGAUACCUGAACUAUGAGCUGAAAGAAUUACUUUCACUUUUCACCAAAAUACCUUCCAGCCACAACGAGACUAAAAAUUGCAUCAUAAUGCACAUCAGCAAGCCUAUUGAGGUGAUGUUGCUCAAGAGCAACUAACGUGGAAAUCAGCCCUGAUAUAAACUGGGAAAACUCCUCUGAUUUCUAUGGUUGCUACUGCUUUUUAUGCCACGUGUGCCUUUGCCGAUCAAAGAGCCUUUCCUGGGAGUAUUGUAGAAAUCAGCGAUGGAGGAUAAGUGGAGGAGCUGAAAAAAGUGUAACUUUAGAUGCAAUUUUCUGUGUCAAGUUGAGCUACACCUGCAAGAAUUAAGGACCUGAUCCAAAGUCUAUUGCAGUCUAUUGAUGGCUCAUAGGAAUGACCCUGCCUCUGGCAGGAGGCUGAACUAGAUGACCUCUGGAGAUCCCUUCCAGCCCCAUAUGUCUAUAAGUCUAUGAUUCAAUGGAAAGACCCCCAUUAUCUCCGACGGGCAUUGUAUCAGACUGUAAAAAAAAAGACAGAAAGGGAAAUCGGAGCCUAUUGGAAUCCAAGGAAAUUGCUCAUGGAAAAUGAACACAUGUGAAAGUGGAUAAAAACUGCAUAUGUUAUUCCCAUGCAAUUUAAAUAUACUUUUAAUGGUUCAAAUGAGCAAGGUUUUUAACAUCUACAUUUACUUUCAUCAAGAAGUUUGGAUAAAAAAAAUUAAAAUUUUAAUCCCUGCAGGCUGCAUUAUCCCUAAACUUGCCCAGACAGAGACCUAGGGUAAGAUAUACAGAGUAUAGCAACUACAGAUAUAUAAGUAAACAUUGUCAGGCUCUCCAUAUAGGACUUCAGCGAUGAGGAUGUGCCAGGUGAAGCGACAGAUGACAGGGAUCAGAAGCAGAGCUCACGGCCCAGACAGCAGAAGCCACAUGGACCUGGAGUCAGAUUACCCCCAUCAUUUCCUUUUUGGCAUCUGAUUUUCAUGCUUUGUCUGAAUACCUGGGAACCCAAUUCUAGCACCACAUGGGAAAGCUGAUAUUCAAAAAAAAAAUGUCAUGAUGAUCAUGAUAUGCUAGUCAUAAAAAUUCUCACAUAUUUUGUGUGUGUUAUUUAAAUGACUUUUUCCUCUAACUAAACCUAAGUUUGGAGCUUAGGUUGUUCUGUGUUGUUUUAAAGGGGACAAAAAGGAUAAAUAAAAACCAGCCCUGCCUAUA